RNAcentral lists this ribosomal RNA (429 nucleotides) under Gemmatimonadota bacterium. RNAcentral's name for it is "Gemmatimonadetes bacterium partial 16S ribosomal RNA". It matches the Rfam family "Bacterial small subunit ribosomal RNA", at positions 355 to 776 of the family's 1533-position model. Lineage: Bacteria; Pseudomonadati; Gemmatimonadota. The record is from RNAcentral.
UAGGGAAUCUUCGGCAAUGGACGAAAGUCUUACCGAGCAACGCCGCGUGAGUGAAGAAGGUUUUCGGAUCGUAAAACUCUGUUGUUAGAGAAGAACAAGGACGUUAGUAACUGAACGUCCCCUGACGGUAUCUAACCAGAAAGCCACGGCUAACUACGUGCCAGCAGCCGCGGUAAUACGUAGGUGGCAAGCGUUGUCCGGAUUUAUUGGGCGUAAAGCGAGCGCAGGCGGUUUCUUAAGUCUGAUGUGAAAGCCCCCGGCUCAACCGGGGAGGGUCAUUGGAAACUGGGAGACUUGAGUGCAGAAGAGGAGAGUGGAAUUCCAUGUGUAGCGGUGAAAUGCGUAGAUAUAUGGAGGAACACCAGUGGCGAAGGCGGCUCUCUGGUAUGUAACUGACGCUGAGGCUCGAAAGCGUGGGGAGAAAACAGG